UACGAAGGGGGCUAGCGUUAAUCGGAAUUACUGGGCGUAAAGCGUGCGCAGGCGGUUUUGUAAGCCAGAUGUGAAAUCCCCGGGCUCAACCUGGGAAUGGCAUUUGGGACUGCAAGGCUGGAGUGUGGCAGAGGAGACUGGAAUUCCUGGUGUAGCAGUGAAAUGCGUAGAUAUCAGGAGGAAUACCGAUGGCGAAGGCAGGUCUCUGGGCUGACACUGACGCUCAUGCACGAAAGCGAGGGAGCAAACAGG
This 252-nucleotide ribosomal RNA is filed under the name uncultured bacterium. Its description in RNAcentral is "partial 16S ribosomal RNA". It matches the Rfam family "Bacterial small subunit ribosomal RNA", at positions 524 to 776 of the family's 1533-position model. The record is from RNAcentral.